RNAcentral lists this long non-coding RNA (987 nucleotides) under Haliotis rufescens (red abalone). RNAcentral describes it as "uncharacterized LOC124143971, transcript variant X1". The record is from RNAcentral. Lineage: Eukaryota; Metazoa; Mollusca; Gastropoda; Lepetellida; Haliotidae.
AUUCUGUAAAAACAGUGAGUGAGUGAGUUUGUUUUACGCUGUAGUGACAAAUAUUUGUGCGGCCUGAGUCAGUUGUAUUCCACUCCGUCAGGGCAAAACAAUAUCGACCAGAACAUACAUUAUAUUCACUUGCUCAUUUCAGUCAGCCAUUACGAAACGCAUAGUGCUUGGGACUCAUCCUGAUUUUAGAAUACCCAGGACGGUAGAGAUUUAAAGCGAUACGUGGGACAUGUGUGUUUGGAGGAUACGAUUGUGAAACAAUUCAUCAAACGUUAGUGGAAAGUCUUUGCAUGUGACGUCGCGGCAGCCUAGCAGCCUAGCACCGUGUGUGUCAACCAAUGACUGCACGACACCUUCUGCCCAUGGAACCAAGUUGCAUGUGGAUGGCAUCUUAUUGAAUGGCAGCCAUGACGAGCUUGACGUAAUUGGCGCAGAUGCAGUGGGACAGAUUCACGUUGACGUACACGUCUGUCCCACAGAUGAUCCGAUGACGGAUAUACUCUGACCUCUCAGAGGGCAGAAGGCCUCCGUGUUUGGACCAGGAUCACGGUAUACUUCUCAUGGUAUAACAAAGAGGAGAGCAGAUGUCUGAUGAAUCAAGGGAGAUAAUACAGUGUGUUAAGAACUGACCACGUACCUCGACAUCAGGAGACCCGAAGGAUGUGACAAAUCAUCGUUGCGCUAAAGACUAUAUGCUUUUAGGGUGGUGCUCAGAUAUUUUGUUUCCUUAACAUGUUUUGAUUUAAACAUAUUUUAUUCAGAUUGAAAUGGAUUGGGAACAAGUUAUCCAACUUAGGACUCCCUCUCCAUGGUAUUUACAAAGCUUGUACAGUAAAUCAUAUACAAGGAAAACAGAAAAGAAGAUGAGUGUAAAGAUAACAAGAAAUGUACAAGAGAGAGACUAGUAUAUGUACAUUAAAGUGUUACCCAAAUCUCUUUGUAUGACUUAAAAACAUUUGCACUGCUUUAAAGAUGUGUUUAUUUUCG